UCCAGCGGUGAGCUCCGCGGUCCUGCGGCUGGGGGCGCAGCGCGGCGCCGACCGGUGGGCGUGCCCAGGCCCUCCGAGCGCUGCGGCCGUUGGGAAGCGGGGUGCGCGCGCUACGAUUUGAGGUCCUGGCGGGUUCCUGUCUGCUACCUCCGUGCCGGGGGGCGCACAGCGCCCGGAGAAGAGCGAAGCCAGGUUGACAGGCUGGAGUCCCGAGGGUCCCAAUGUUGGUAGGGCCACCCCCAAGGCGGGCCGGGAGAGGACAGGGUCUGGGGCGCUGUGUCCAGGGCUCCCGGCGCCUGGGACUAGGAUACUGUGGAUAGUACUGCUAUGAACAGGCAUACAGGCAUUUGUUUGAAUACCUGUAUUAAUUUACUUUGUGUACAUAUGCUGGAUUGGAAUGCUGGGUGCUGAGUCCAUUGGCAAUGCCACACUGAACUUUUCUGAGGAACUGCCAGCCUGUUUCCCACAGCUAUACCACCAUUGAACAUUGCUCUCAGCAAGUUCACCAAGGGCAUCUUCUAAUCAGCCCCUGGCACUGGUCAAGCACAGAGCUGUACCCUCCAGGGUCUGGGCUGUCAGGCAGCAGGUGUGCAGUGCUGCUUCAUCCCUGUCAGCCUGGACGGAGGUCAACAGCAACAUGGACAAGAGCACCCUGGUGAUCUCUACGGGUGGGGUGGUCCCCUCACUUGGACCUCUCCUGAAUAGUUACUUAGACAAGUAACCAGUCCUGGCCCUUCCAGACAGCACAUCUCAUCCUGGGGGGCAGACAGCUACCACAGCCCUCCACUGUACAUGGGGACACUGAGGCAGGUCUGUUCUCAACCCUGAGGAGCUCUUUGGGACCCAUGCUUUGGUGGAGGUGGAUAACUAUGUGCUCUACUCAGCUUUCAGAUACUGAUAAGACUACCUGGAUUGUAUUUCCUGCCCACCCUCUACCUGCUGUGACCUCUGACCCCUUGUCUGGCAUUCAGAGCUCUGUGUGGCCUGGUCCUUUUGGCCUCCCAGUCUAGCCUCCACUUCAGCCUCCCUAGAGCCUUCCUAACCCAGAAGCCCUGCAAACCCUGGCCCACCUCACAGCUCCCUGCCUGCCUUUCCCCAUUACCUGCCUCCCCACUGCCCCAGUUGUCCCACUGCUCAAACUGUGAUGGACUCACCUCUAAGACUGGGCUCAGGGGCCAGCUCCUUGGGCCUCUGUUAACACCACAACCUUUCGGGUCAAAAUGACCUGGAGCCAAGCCUCAGUUCCACCUUGCUCACUUAUAGCUGAGGGACCUUGAGCUCUGGCACCACUGCCCAUCUACAAAAUGGAGUGAAUUCAUUGAGCAUGGGGGGCAAUAUUCCCUCAUAACAGUGAUUACCCUCACCAUUCACUCUGCUUUCAUUGUGGGGCCACCUCCUCCCAGGGCUCCUUCCUGUCCCAUUACACUAUGAGACAGGCUGGAACUCGUGUCUUGGGGUCCUGCCAUAGAGAACAGGGAGGGGAGCAUCAAGAAGGGCAAAGGGGUGGCCUGAGUUUCUCCCUGCCUGGACUCAGUGUCCACUGCUGCCUCCAGGACCCUCUGACCCAGCCAUUCACAGAGCUGGCUUGUGGGGUAUAGUUUGGGGAGGUCAGUGGGAUGGGGGUAUUCCAGGACUCUCAUGUCCAUAGGGCUUUGGCCCACCUGGCAGGAGUGGGGCGACACAGUGGUUCCAGUGGUCAUGGGGUAUCAGAGCAGUGGCUUCUGAAGUGGUACAGACAGGAAUGGGAACCGUUGGUACAUUGUGCAUGACAUGAGGCAGCAUGUCAUGCACAUACUGUCCGCAGCCCAUGUACUCCCCCAUGAAUAUGAGGCUGGCUGCUCCACUUGGAGACCACAUGUGGAGGGAGGACAUGUGCCCCCUGACCCCCACCCAGGGGCCAGGUCCAUGUUGAGCUUGGCUCACAAGGUUCCAUCUCCAACCCUCAUGCUACAGUCCUGAAAUUGAGGCCAGGAGAGGUGGGGGCUGGCCCAGGCUGUGAGGUGGGUGUCCAGACGGGAAAGGAGGGCUCCAGCCUCCUAGUCCAGGGCUCAACCAUCUAGUGGGGCUGCUCUGGGAAUGACAGCCCCUAAGAUCCUGGGGACCCCUGCCCACUCUUCCUAUGUGGGGCUGUUUCUUCUAGGCAUGCCCAUGUGCACACAAACUACACAUUCUAACUACACCUCUAUGUUUAGUAUGCAGAGAACUUUUUUGAAGUAGAUGAGAAACUUAGCAGUGUUACCUGUGGAAUGGAGCAAUAAGGUAUUAGGUAUAAAAACAUUUUGGAUGUUGUGAUUUUUACAAUACACAAAUUAUCUUAAUUUCCAGAAAUAGCUCAUAAAUUGCAGCAAUGCGAGAAAAAAUAUUUUUAUAUUUCUUUGAGUAGGCCAGAAAGGUAGGGCUAAUGUGUUUUUAUAGACAUCUUUUAAAAAAUAAUUGUUUUAUUGUUGAUUAUUUAUAGACAGAAAAAAUAAACAAAUUGUAAAUCAAUCCCUAUUUAGAAUGUGUUUCACCUAAGCUUGGGCAAUAUUUUGUGAUUCUGUAGAGAUGGACUUAUUUAUUUAGGAAAUACAAAUGAGGAAAAAUAACUAUAAGAAGUUACCUAUUAAUCGUAGACUUCAAUUUGGUUCUCCUGCCCUCUAAUGGUCAUUUCUCAAACUGCAGACAAAGCCAUAUUAAGGUGAAACAUUUUUAAAUAUUAAAAUACAACUCAAGUGUGCCAAUCAUGCCUCAAAUUUUGGAGAUUUGAAGAACCUCAGGAAUGUUCUCAGCUUCCUCAUUUUAACUUUGCAGCAUAACCACUAUAUCUCAAUUAUAUACUCUCUUGUGAUUACAGACAAAAUUGAAUUUUGGCCUCUCCUAUUUGACUUAGUAAAUUAUGCAGUUACAGUAAUUUUCUGUAAAAUUUUUACAUUGUAUAAUCUUAGUCCUCAA
Phyllostomus hastatus (greater spear-nosed bat) is the source of this 2931-nucleotide long non-coding RNA. RefSeq lists it as uncharacterized. Lineage: Eukaryota; Metazoa; Chordata; Mammalia; Chiroptera; Phyllostomidae. The record is from RefSeq and is a predicted model, not a curated record. The transcript is spliced from 4 exons.